Molecule: unclassified non-coding RNA, 378 nt
Filed under: uncultured Rickettsiales bacterium
Lineage: Bacteria; Pseudomonadati; Pseudomonadota; Alphaproteobacteria; Rickettsiales
Description: contains 16S-23S intergenic spacer region
Source: RNAcentral
UCCCGCUUAUCACGGGCAGUUUCCUUAGAGUUCUCAACUGAAUGUUAGCAACUAAGGACGAGGGUUGCGCUCGUUGCGGGACUUAACCCAACAUCUCACGACACGAGCUGACGACAGCCAUGCAGCACCUGUGUUCCAGCCACCCUAGGUGAAGGAAUCCAUCUCUGGAAUCCAAACUGGACAUGUCAAGGCCUGGUAAGGUUCUUCGCGUUGCCUCGAAUUAAACCACAUGCUCCACCGCUUGUGCGGGUCCCCGUCAAUUUCUUUGAGUUUUAACCUUGCGGCCGUACUCCCCAGGCGGAAUGUUUAACGCGUUAGCUACGUCACUGAGAUCGAAGACCCCAACAACUAACAUUCAUCGUUUACAGCGUGGACUAC